Peromyscus maniculatus bairdii (prairie deer mouse) is the source of this 874-nucleotide non-coding RNA. NCBI's taxonomy places the organism in Eukaryota, Metazoa, Chordata, Mammalia, Rodentia, Cricetidae. The record is from RefSeq and is a predicted model, not a curated record.
GGGAAGUGUGGCGGCAGGAGUGGCCCUUGGCUCUGUGCCUCCUGUCCUUUUAGGGACCACUCUCCAUGUUUCCCGAGUCUUCCAGGCUAUCCAGAGAGUUCUCGGGCUGUAAUGCUGCCCGGCUAGCACCAGGAGAGCUCAGCCCUUGAGAGAACAGAGCCAAGCAGAGAGGAGACAAGGGCUGGGAGCACAGGUCAACCCUGGGUUGGAUGGAGACUUCCGCAGCCUGGCUCAUUCUAGAGUGAGCUUGGUUUCAAAUCCCUAAUGCCAUGACUCCAGCAAAUCGACUUGUAAAGGUUUUGAUUUUUGGCUUGGAAAGUAUGAUUUUUUUUUCCCAAGCCGUAAGUACUGGCUCACAUCUAUAAUUCCAGGACUUGAGAAAGCCGAGGCAGGAGGAUUGCCAAGAACUGGAGGCCAGCCUGGACUAUGUGCCCCUGUCAGAUGAGGAGUAACUUAGUUUCUUCCUGGGAAUCUUCUGUGGGUCCACAAAGGAGAUCUUCACAUAUUGGAGGACCUUGGCUUGAGAACUCAAGAAGUCAUGCAAGUCCCUAGUCAGGGCCUGGACAAGGAGGUGGGGACUAUCCUUGAAUCCCUGGGCAGGAUCUUCCAGGUUCAAGAUGCAGCUCCUUCUCCAUUAUCAGCUCCUUCUCCAGCACCAUGUCCGCCUGCAUGCCACCAAGUCCCUCCAAGACGAUAAUGGACUAAACCUCUGAAACCCUUCACCCCUCAGUCUUGGAGUGGUCCAAGGGAUAACCGCCACCCAGGCUACCCCUGACCUGGAAAUGGAUUUGUCCUGGAAGGAAAUUGAAGAUGCAACACUUACACUGGAUUUGCUCUCAAUUUAUAUUAGACUGUGAACUUCCUGAAUGGGGUA